CUUUUUCUUGCCACUGUAGAUAAUUAUAUACUAUAGAUAGAUAGAUAGAUAGAUAGAUAGAUAGAUAGAUAGAUAGAUAGAUAGAUAGAUAGAUAGAUAGAUAGAUAGAUAGAUAGAUAGAUAGAUAGAUAGAUAGAUAGAUAGAUACAGUUGAAGUCCGAACUUUACAUACACCUUAGCCAAAUACAUUUAAACUCAGUUUUUCACAAUUCCUGACAUUAAAUUAUCGUAAAAAAUCCCUGUUUUCGGUCAGUUAGGAUCACCACUUUAUUUUAAGAAUGCGAAAUGUCAGAAUAAUAGUAGAGUGAUUUUAUUUAAGCUUUUAUGUAGCAUUAAGAUUUGCCUUUACUGGAAUUUAGGGGGGACUCACCCGAACCAUGAAACUGCCCCAGAUCGUUAUUCCUCCUCCACCAAACAUUACAGUUGGCACUAUGCAUUGGGUCAGGUAGCGUUCUCCUGGCAUACGCAAAACCCAGAUUCAUUCGUUGGACUGCCGGAUGGUGAAGCGUGACCCAUCACUCCAGAUAACGCGUUUCCACUGAGAGUCCAAUGGCUGUGAGCUUUCCACCACUCCAGCCGAUGCUUGGCAUUGCGCAUGGUGAUCUUAGGCUUGUGUGCAGCUACUCUGCCAUGGAAACCCAUUUCAUGAAGCUCCCAACAAACAGUUUUUGUGCUGACAUUGCUUCCAGAGGCAGUUUGGAACUUGGUAGUGAGUGUUGCAACCGAGAACAUACCAUUUUUACGCACUAUACGCUACAGCACCUGGCGGUUGCCUAGACGUUUCCACUUCACAAUAACAGUACUUAUAGUUGACCGGGGCAGCUCUAGCAGGGCAGAAAUAUGAUGAACUGACUGGUUGGAAAGGUGGCAUCCUAUGACGGUGCCAUGUUGAAAGUCACUGAGCUCUUCAGUAAGACCAUUCUACUGCCAGUGUUUGUCUAUGGAGAUUGUAUGGCUGUGUGCUCGAUUUUAUACACCUGUCAGCAACAGGUGUGGCCUACGUAGCCGGAUCUACUAAUUUGAAGGGGUGUCC
Molecule: long non-coding RNA, 1033 nt
Organism: Oncorhynchus tshawytscha (Chinook salmon)
Lineage: Eukaryota; Metazoa; Chordata; Actinopteri; Salmoniformes; Salmonidae
Source: Ensembl